RNAcentral lists this long non-coding RNA (1174 nucleotides) under Ursus maritimus (polar bear). Its description in RNAcentral is "lncRNA (ENSUMAG00000019827.1)". Lineage: Eukaryota; Metazoa; Chordata; Mammalia; Carnivora; Ursidae. The record is from RNAcentral.
GGCGUCUAAGGCAGACGUGGGCGCCGGAGAAGGGAUGUCCUUGUUCCUUGGAUCGAAGCCGGGAAUUCUCAUGAGCGCCUGCUGUGUGCCGGGCGUCGUGCAAGGCGGACAGUCAGUAGCGACGCCUCGAGUGGGAAACACCACUCGCUCCAGGUUCUCUCCUCAGGCUGUCAAGGCCUCCUCUCCCCGGGACCCCAGCCUGCUCCGCCUCCUUCCUCGCACCUGCAGCCACUGAGCUGAGCUCGGCGCCGCCCCCCUGCUGGCUCCUCCCUUCAGCAGCCACGCCCCUCGGGAUCCGGGACGCGGAUCUGCACGGAGUUGUCUAGUGGCCUGGCCGUCCUGCAGCGACCGCCCUGGGCCUCGUAUCCCCUAUUCCACACUUGCCAGGUUCCCCACGUUCACGUGGACUGCUCCAGAAGCUUUCUCCACUAAGGCUGGUCCCACCUGGCCCCUCUCCCAUCAGCUCCUCCCCAUCUUCCCGCAAGGGUCCGGUCGUCCCUUAUGGACCCUCCUCCUCCCACACGGCUCCUCCCUCUCCACGUGGUUCCUUCCGCUCCCAGGCAGCCCCAAUGGUCCCUGCUUAUUGUUCCUUAUAUCGGGGCCCCGGUGAAGCCGGUGUCUCUGCCGUGAAACACACCACCCCAGGCCUCUCCUGCUUUAGUUAGUGUCAGAAUCACCUUGUUCCCAUUAUCCCCAUUGUAACAAACGCUGGGCUCCAUACUCUGGACGAAUGCAGACAGCCGUCCUCACUGUUUUUUGCCUGCCUUGCCAGGAAGACAGGGAUAUAACUUCUCGUCCUCACAGCCCUGUCCCUCGAGUCCAGGUUAGGGCCUGACGGUGUCCCCGGGUCCAGGCUAGGGCCUGACACUGGAUCUUGAGCCCCUCCCAACGCCAGGCUUUCUGGAAUGUUCCCAGUUGCAUACAUUCAGCUUCCUCACCUAACCCCAUAAUGUUUAACGAAAUAGGUCCAGGAGACCUACACUAGUAGGUCACAUAAAAAUGCUUCUAAGGGGGCGCCUGGGUGGCACAGCGGUUGAGCGUCUGCCUUCGGCUCAGGGCGUGAUCCUGGUGUUCUGGGAUCGAGCCCCACAUCAGGCUCCUCCACGAGGAGCCUGCUUCUUCCUCUCCCACUCCCCCUGCUUGUGUUCCCUCUCUCACUGGCUGUCUCUCUCUG